Molecule: small nuclear RNA, 103 nt
Organism: Pteronotus mesoamericanus
Lineage: Eukaryota; Metazoa; Chordata; Mammalia; Chiroptera; Mormoopidae
Source: RefSeq, a predicted model, not a curated record
GUGCUGGUUGCGGCAGCACAGAUACUGAAAGUGGAACAACGGAAGGUCAGCACAGCGCCUGUGCUAGGACGGCAUGCAAAUUUGUGAAGCAUUCCAUAUUUUU